UGAGGAAUAUUGGUCAAUGGGCGAGAGCCUGAACCAGCCAAGUCGCGUGAGGGAAGACGGUCCUAUGGAUUGUAAACUCUUUUGCCGGGGAGCAAAGAGCGGUACGUGUACCGCGCCGAGAGUACCCGGAGAAAAAGCAUCGGCUAACUCCGUGCC
This 156-nucleotide ribosomal RNA is filed under the name uncultured bacterium. Its description in RNAcentral is "partial 16S ribosomal RNA". It matches the Rfam family "Bacterial small subunit ribosomal RNA", at positions 355 to 509 of the family's 1533-position model. The record is from RNAcentral.